Molecule: small nucleolar RNA, 102 nt
Organism: Sapajus apella (tufted capuchin)
Lineage: Eukaryota; Metazoa; Chordata; Mammalia; Primates; Cebidae
Product: small nucleolar RNA U13
Exons: 1
Source: RefSeq, a predicted model, not a curated record
AUCCUUUUGUAGUUCAUGAGCAUGAUGAUUGGGUGUUCACACGCUUGUGUGAGAUGUGCCACUUUUAACCUUGUUACACGUCUGCAUGUUAUCCAUCUGACC